GUAUGAGCCACAUGAGAACAGGGAAGCUUGCAGUGAGAGCACAGCGAUUUUCCUGGAACUGCCCCACAAGGCUGUCUCUGAGCCCCUUUUGCUGGGUCCCCAGAGCUGCUGUGGCUCCCAUUCUUCCUGAGGUCUGAGAUUCCAUCUUCCUUCAGUUCUAUAAAAACACUGCAGCUCAACACACAGUGGAUAAGAACCUGGCUCUGGAGUCAAAGUCUUGUAUCCCAAGCUCCAUCACUCACUGCCUGGUGGCCUUAGGAAGAUACCUGUGGCAGAGUGUCUUGCCCGACAAUAGCCACAGCAACAUUUCUGCUCCCACGUGCUCUUCUAGAAUCUAGCCUUUCAAGGGGUAGAGUCUGUUUUCCCUCCUCUUGAACCUAGGCAAGACUUCAUAACUACCUCCAUGAAUACAACGAGGUGGAAGUGAUGCUGCCUGGCUUCUGAGGGUAGACUGUAAAGUUGAUGCGGUUUCCACCAGGCUCUCCUUCUCUGGGGGCCUUUUCCCUUGGAAACUGCCACCAUGCUGGGAGGAAACCCUCACAGAGAGACCGCUGUGGAGAGGAACUGAAGCUCCCAGCAUCGAACUCCAGACACGUAGGAUCCUGAUUGUUACACGAACUGUCCACCUCCAUCCAGAGCCGUGUGGCUUGUAGUGCCUUCUCGUGGCAGGUAUAUUUUCCUGCCUGUUCACGUGACUUGUGUUGGCCAGUGGAAUAUAGUUUGAUCUGCAGUAGUUUGAAUCUGAGGAUGCUGAACCUGUGGAUAAGGAGAGCCUACUUUUCUUGGACAAAUGCCCUGUGUCAGAAGAGUGUGGUAAACAGAAGCUCAGCUCCUUCAAGGAUGACAGCCUUGGUUACACCACCAGAUUCCUCUUCAGGACCAAGGACUCAUUUUCCAGCUGGCAGGAAUGUUAGCUACUGACGGCCAUGGCUGAGUUCCUCUUCAGGAAUUAUCCUCCACUUGAGGGGAAUUGCUUUGUUCAGUGUUACACUCCCUCUAUAGUGGCAGCCCACACUGGUUGAUGUGGGGUACAAAGUCCUGGACCUUGUCUUAGAUGGGAUAGUUCUGAAGGGCUAUUCCAGCUCCAGAACUCCUCAUAGGAUUGGCUGAGGUCUCCUCUGCAACUGGAUCACAGUUCAACUUUUUCUUCUGCCCAGUCCUUCUUCUCUCAUCUGUUGCCAGUUUUAUUCGUGAGUGUGUUUCCCAAUAAACCCCCUGCAUGCAAAUCUCAGAGUCUGUUUCCUAGGGAACUCA
RNAcentral lists this long non-coding RNA (1254 nucleotides) under Homo sapiens (human). RNAcentral describes it as "HSALNT0309140". The record is from RNAcentral. Lineage: Eukaryota; Metazoa; Chordata; Mammalia; Primates; Hominidae.